RNAcentral lists this ribosomal RNA (476 nucleotides) under uncultured bacterium. RNAcentral describes it as "partial 16S ribosomal RNA". It matches the Rfam family "Bacterial small subunit ribosomal RNA", at positions 28 to 523 of the family's 1533-position model. The record is from RNAcentral.
GGUGAACGCUGGCGGCGUGCUUAACACAUGCAAGUCGAGCGAGUGAGUUCUUCGGAACGAUCUAGCGGCGGACGGGUGAGUAACACGUGGGCAACCUGCCUCAUAGAGGGGAAUAGCCUCCCGAAAGGGAGAUUAAUACCGCAUAAAAUUAUCGAGUGGCAUCACAUGAUAAUCAAAGGAGUAAUCCGCUAUGAGAUGGGCCCGCGGCACAUUAGCUAGUUGGUGAGGUAAUGGCUCACCAAGGCGACGAUGCGUAGCCGACCUGAGAGGGUGAUGGGCCAAAUUGGGACUGAGACACGGCCCAGACUCCUACGGGAGGCAGCAGUGGGGAAUAUUGCACAAUGGGGGAAACCCUGAUGCAGCAACGCCGCGUGAGUGAUGAAGGUCUUCGGAUUGUAAAGCUCUGUCUUUGGGGACGAUAAUGACGGUACCCAAGGAGGAAGCCACGGCUAACUACGUGCCAGCAGCCGCCGCGG